ACAAGUUUCAAGCCCAGCUGCGCUGGAGCUCCUGCACUCUGAGCAUCAUAACCUGCACCAUGCCCAUGAUCCUGGGUUACUGGGACAUCAGCGGGCUGGCCCAUGCCAUCCGCCUUCUCCUGGAGUACACAGACACAAACUAUGAGGAGAGACAGUACUCGGUAGGAGAUGCUCCUGACUAUGAUAGAAGCCAGUGGCUGAAUGAAAAAUUCAAGCUGGGCCUGGACUUCCCCAAUUUGCCCUACUUAAUCGAUGGGACUCACAAGCUUACCCAGAGCAACGCCAUCCUUCGAUACAUUGCUUGCAAGCACAACAUGUGUGGGGAAACAGAAGAGGAGAUGAUUCGUGUAGACAUUUUGGAGAACCAAGUUAUGGAUGUCCGUUUUGCCAUGGUCAGGAUCUGCUACAGCCCUGACUUUGAGAAACUGAAGCCUGGUUUCUUGAAGGAGAUCCCUGAAAAAAUCAAGCUGUUCUCAGAGUUUCUGGGGAAGAGGCCUUGGUUUGCAGGGGACAAGCUCACCUAUGUGGAUUUCCUGGUUUACGACGUCCUUGACAUGCACCGCAUAUUUGAGCCCAAGUGCCUGGAUGCAUUCCCAAACCUGAAAGACUUCAUUGCUCGUUUUGAGGUCAUUCCCCUGAACUCCUUAGUAUUUACAUCUUUCUUCUCUUUCUUAUUCUCCCUGAUUUCCUAG
Non-coding RNA from Odocoileus virginianus texanus, 692 nucleotides. NCBI's taxonomy places the organism in Eukaryota, Metazoa, Chordata, Mammalia, Artiodactyla, Cervidae. The record is from RefSeq and is a predicted model, not a curated record.